Bradysia coprophila is the source of this 687-nucleotide long non-coding RNA. NCBI's taxonomy places the organism in Eukaryota, Metazoa, Arthropoda, Insecta, Diptera, Sciaridae. The record is from RefSeq and is a predicted model, not a curated record.
ACUUCAUCUAGUACUAUUUCGGUUCAUCAUGUCGUGAUAUCAACCAUACCAACCUAUGUCAGUCCAUUGUUCCGUUUUUCUGUUGCUUCAACACAUACACAUGCAUACAUCAAACGCGGAACUUACUUCAUUACGGUCGAUUUGACGUCCACAUUUGUUUAUGUUUAAACAUUUCGAACACCACAACGAACGACUCAACAACUAAUUACUGUUCGGUUAAUUGAAUUUCUGAUUAAGAGUAACAAUGGUACUGCAGUGCAUUGUGAAAGGAUGUGAAACUGUUGGAAAAAACGGAUUCCACAGCUUUCCGACGAACAAAGUGGUUGCAGAAAAGUGGAUUUUGGCUACAAAAGCCAUUCAUUUACUGGAACGUUUAAAAUCAAACAAACUAUCAAACUCCUUCUACAAACUUUGUAGAAAACAUUUUCUACAUACCGACCUGGUAGAAAAUGGAAAAGGCCAAAUAAUUGUGAAGCAGGACUCCACACCAAGCCUCUUUCUGCCAACUGAUGUCGAUUACGACAUUAAUCAGAUACAGCUUUCUUCAUCGAAGCCCAAGCCAGUCAAGCGACUACAGCACCAGCAUUCACCGACAGGGAAAAACUCUACGAAAUUGUCGGAAAAGGAAAAUGACAGCGAAAUAGAUGUGGAAGGUGUAUCGUCAGAAGAGGAGAUUGACCUGCAUGG